CCUACGGGCGGCAGCAGUGAGGAAUAUUGGUCAAUGGACGAGAGUCUGAACCAGCCAAGUCGCGUGGAGGAUGACUGCCCUAUGGGUUGUAAACUUCUUUUAUAUGGGAAUAAAAUGUUCCACGUGUGGGAUUUUGUAUGUACCAUAUGAAUAAGGAUCGGCUAACUCCGUGCCAGCAGCCGCGGUAAUCCGGAGGAUCCGAGCGUUAUCCAGAUUUAUUGGGUUUAAAGGGAGCGUAGGUGGAUUGUUAAGUCAGGUGUGAAAGUUUGCGGCUCAACCGUCAAAUUGCAGUUGAAACUGGCAGUCUAGAGUACAGGAGAGGUGGGCGGAAUUCGUGGUGUAGCGGUGAAAUGCUUAGAUAUCACGCAGAACUCCGAUUGCGAAGGCAGCUCACUGGUCUGCAACUGACACUGAGGCUCGAAAGUGUGGGUAUCAAACAGGAUUAGAUACCCUAGUAGUC
This 460-nucleotide ribosomal RNA is filed under the name uncultured bacterium. RNAcentral's name for it is "partial 16S ribosomal RNA". It matches the Rfam family "Bacterial small subunit ribosomal RNA", at positions 338 to 795 of the family's 1533-position model. The record is from RNAcentral.